This 73-nucleotide transfer RNA is filed under the name Anaerolineae bacterium. RNAcentral's name for it is "tRNA-Thr". It matches the Rfam family "tRNA". Rfam says of the family: Transfer RNA (tRNA) molecules are approximately 80 nucleotides in length. Their secondary structure includes four short double-helical elements and three loops (D, anti-codon, and T loops). Lineage: Bacteria; Bacillati; Chloroflexota; Anaerolineae. The record is from RNAcentral.
GCCUACGUAGCUCAGUUGGCAGAGCGCGCCCUUGGUAAGGGCGAGGUCAUGGGUUCAAAUCCCAUCGUAGGCU